Molecule: non-coding RNA, 32 nt
Filed under: Homo sapiens (human)
Lineage: Eukaryota; Metazoa; Chordata; Mammalia; Primates; Hominidae
Source: RNAcentral
UCACCUGCCCCAGGUGUACUUCCAGCUGUGCC